GCUACCUGAUUCAGCGGCGGACGGGUGAGUAAUGCCUAGGAAUCUGCCCGGUAGUGGGGGACAACGUUUCGAAAGGAACGCUAAUACCGCAUACGUCCUACGGGAGAAAGUGGGGGAUCUUCGGACCUCACGCUAUCGGAUGAGCCUAGGUCGGAUUAGCUAGUUGGUGAGGUAAUGGCUCACCAAGGCGACGAUCCGUAACUGGUCUGAGAGGAUGAUCAGUCACACUGGAACUGAGACACGGUCCAGACUCCUACGGGAGGCAGCAGUGGGGAAUAUUGGACAAUGGGCGAAAGCCUGAUCCAGCCAUGCCGCGUGUGUGAAGAAGGUCUUCGGAUUGUAAAGCACUUUAAGUUGGGAGGAAGGGCAGUAAGUUAAUACCUUGCUGUUUUGACGUUACCAACAGAAUAAGCACCGGCUAACUUCGUGCCAGCAGCCGCGGUAAUACGAAGGGUGCAAGCGUUAAUCGGAAUUACUGGGCGUAAAGCGCGCGUAGGUGGUUCAGCAAGUUGGAUGUGAAAGCCCCGGGCUCAACCUGGGAACUGCAUCCAAAACUACUGAGCUAGAGUACGGUAGAGGGUGGUGGAAUUUCCUGUGUAG
RNAcentral lists this ribosomal RNA (600 nucleotides) under uncultured bacterium. Its description in RNAcentral is "bacterial SSU rRNA". It matches the Rfam family "Bacterial small subunit ribosomal RNA", at positions 82 to 678 of the family's 1533-position model. The record is from RNAcentral.